This 225-nucleotide ribosomal RNA is filed under the name Ropalidia malayana. RNAcentral describes it as "partial small subunit ribosomal RNA". The record is from RNAcentral. Lineage: Eukaryota; Metazoa; Arthropoda; Insecta; Hymenoptera; Vespidae.
UUAAAUCAUUAAAGUUAAAAGAUUUGGCGGUAUUUUAUAAAAUUAGAGGAACCUGUGAUUUAAUUGAUAAUCCACGAUAAGAUUUACUUAAAAAUUUAUGUAUUGCUGUUUGAAGAAUUUUAUUAAAUAAAAAUUUAAAGUUUAAAAAAAAAGUAAUUCAAGUCAAAAUAUAGUUUAUUUAAGUUAUGGGUUACAUUAUUGAUUUUUUAAAGGAUUUAAUAGUAA